This 910-nucleotide ribosomal RNA is filed under the name uncultured bacterium. RNAcentral describes it as "bacterial SSU rRNA". It matches the Rfam family "Bacterial small subunit ribosomal RNA", at positions 33 to 925 of the family's 1533-position model. The record is from RNAcentral.
ACGCUGGCGGCGUGCCUAAUAUAUGCAAGUAGAACGCUGAAGAGAGGAGCUUGCUCUUCUUGGAUGAGUUGCGAACGGGUGAGUAACGCGUAGGUAACCUGCCUUGUAGCGGGGGAUAACUAUUGGAAACGAUAGCUAAUACCGCAUAACAAUAGGUGACACAUGUCAUUUAUUUGAAAGGGGCAAUUGCUCCACUACAAGAUGGACCUGCGUUGUAUUAGCUAGUAGGUGAGGUAACGGCUCACCUAGGCGACGAUACAUAGCCGACCUGAGAGGGUGAUCGGCCACACUGGGACUGAGACACGGCCCAAACUCCUACGGGAGGCAGCAGUAGGGAAUCUUCGGCAAUGGGGGCAACCCUGACCGAGCAACGCCGCGUGAGUGAAGAAGGUUUUCGGAUCGUAAAGCUCUGUUGUAAGUCAAGAACGAGUGUGAGAGUGGAAAGUUCACACUGUGACGGUAGCUUACCAGAAAGGGACGGCUAACUACGUGCCAGCAGCCGCGGUAAUACGUAGGUCCCGAGCGUUGUCCGGAUUUAUUGGGCGUAAAGCGAGCGCAGGCGGUUUGAUAAGUCUGAAGUUAAAGGCUGUGGCUCAACCAUAGUUCGCUUUGGAAACUGUCAAACUUGAGUGCAGAAGGGGAGAGUGGAAUUCCAUGUGUAGCGGUGAAAUGCGUAGAUAUAUGGAGGAACACCGGUGGCGAAAGCGGCUCUCUGGUCUGUAACUGACGCUGAGGCUCGAAAGCGUGGGGAGCGAACAGGAUUAGAUACCCUGGUAGUCCACGCCGUAAACGAUGAGUGCUAGGUGUUGGAUCCUUUCCGGGAUUCAGUGCCGCAGCUAACGCAUUAAGCACUCCGCCUGGGGAGUACGACCGCAAGGUUGAAACUCAAAGGAAUUGACGGGGGCCCGCA